UACGAGGGCUUCAAGCGUUAUCCGGAAUCAUUGGGCGUAAAGGGUGUGUAGGUGGUUGUGUUAGUCUUGCGUAAAAUGCUCCGGCUCAACCGGAGUUCCGCGCGGGAAACGGCACGACUAGAGGACGGUAGAGGUUUCUGGAACUCAUAGUGUAGCGGUGAAAUGCGUUGAUAUUAUGGGGAACACCAAAGGCGAAGGCAAGAAACUGGGCCGCUACUGACACUGAAACACGAAAGCGUGGGUCGCGAAUGGG
This 253-nucleotide ribosomal RNA is filed under the name uncultured bacterium. RNAcentral's name for it is "partial 16S ribosomal RNA". It matches the Rfam family "Bacterial small subunit ribosomal RNA", at positions 524 to 776 of the family's 1533-position model. The record is from RNAcentral.